RNAcentral lists this ribosomal RNA (1156 nucleotides) under metagenome. RNAcentral's name for it is "bacterial SSU rRNA". It matches the Rfam family "Eukaryotic small subunit ribosomal RNA", at positions 603 to 1772 of the family's 1831-position model. The record is from RNAcentral.
AAUAAAGUUGUUGCAGUUAAAAAGCUCGUAGUUGGAUUUCUAGUGCGGCGAAUGAGUUCAAUUGAGUCCUCUGGAUUCGUGGAUUUUUUUGCUGCGCUAUCCUUUGCGGAGAAAACUUCGGCUCUUUAUUGAGAUCGAGGUGGGAUCCCAAUCAUUUACUUUGAAAAAAUUAGAGUGUUCAAAGCAGGCUAUCGCUGUGAAUACAUUAGCAUGGAAUAAUAAUAUAGGGCUCCAUUCCUAUUGUUGGUUUAAGGAAUAGAGUAAUGAUUGAUAGGGAUAGUUGGGAGUGCUGGUAUUCAAGGGCCAGAGGUGAAAUUCAAUGAUCCCUUGAAGACCAACAAAUGCGAAAGCAUUCACCAAGGAUGUCCUCUUUAAUCAAGAACGAAGGUUGGGGGAUCGACGACGAUCAGAUACCGUCCUAGUCCUAACCAUAAACUAUGCCGGCUCGGGAUCUGUGAGUGUUGGAUUCGACCUCAUAGGCACCGUAUAGGAAACCAAGAGCAAGGUUCCGGGGGGAGUAUGGUCGCAAGGCUGAAACUUAAAGAAAUUGACGGAACGACACCACCAGGCGUGGAACCUGCGGCUUAAUUUGACUCAACACGGGAAAACUUACCAGGUCCAGACAUAGUUAGGAUUGACAGAUUGAAGAUCUUUCUUGAUUCUAUGGGUAGUGGUGCAUGGCCGUUCUUAGUUGGUGGAGUGAUCUGUCUGGUUAAUUCCGAUAACGAACGAGACCUCCUCUUGCUAAAUAGUCCCAGGGUGUUACGGCACCCUGAGGUACUUCUUAGAGGGACAGCUUCGCACAUAGCCUGAGGAAGCGGGAGGCAAUAACAGGUCUGUGAUGCCCUUAGAUGUUCUGGGCUGCACGCGCGUUACACUGGCGCAUUCAACAAGUUUUUAUCCAUGGCCGGAAGGUCUUGGUAAUCUUUAAAUGUGCGCCGUGAUGGGGCUAGAUUAUUGCAAUUAUUAAUCUUCAACGAGGAAUGCCUAGUAAACGCAAGUCAUCAGCUUGCAUUGAUUAAGUCCCUGUCGUUUGUACACACCGCCCGUCGCUCCUACCGAUUGAAUGAUACGGUGAAAUCUUCGGACCGUGGUCGCUAGGUUUGGGGCAACUUGAGCCUGGCAAUGCCAUGGGAAGUUGAUUAGACCUUCUCAU